RNAcentral lists this small nucleolar RNA (107 nucleotides) under Oryza punctata. RNAcentral describes it as "Plant small nucleolar RNA R71". It matches the Rfam family "Plant small nucleolar RNA R71". Rfam says of the family: R71 is a member of the C/D box family of snoRNAs containing the C (UGAUGA) and D (CUGA) box motifs. Lineage: Eukaryota; Viridiplantae; Streptophyta; Magnoliopsida; Poales; Poaceae. The record is from Rfam by way of RNAcentral.
AUCCCGUGAUGAGGACAGGCGGCGACGUAUUCUUGUAGUCUUUCCCACGCUUCCGGGAUCAUCUCAUGUUUCGUCUGCUAGAAGCUAGAUAUUCUUCCACCAGGGGC